AGAGUUUGAUCAUGGCUCAGGAUGAACGCUAGCGGCAGGCUUAACACAUGCAAGUCGAGGGGUAGCAGGAUUUAGUUUACUAGAUUGCUGACGACCGGCGCACGGGUGAGUAACGCGUAUACAAUUUGCCUUUUACUGAAGAAUAGCCCAGAGAAAUUUGGAUUAAUGCUUCAUAGUAUUAUUUGGUCACCUGGCCGAGUAAUUAAAGCUCCGGCGGUAAAAGAUGAGUAUGCGUCCUAUUAGCUAGAUGGUAAGGUAACGGCUUACCAUGGCGACGAUAGGUAGGGGUCCUGAGAGGGAGAUCCCCCACACUGGUACUGAGACACGGACCAGACUCCUACGGGAGGCAGCAGUGAGGAAUAUUGGGCAAUGGAGGCAACUCUGACCCAGCCAUGCCGCGUGCAGGAAGACUGCCCUAUGGGUUGUAAACUGCUUUUAUACAGGAAGAAACUUAUCCACGUGUGGGUAACUGACGGUACUGUAAGAAUAAGGACCGGCUAACUCCGUGCCAGCAGCCGCGGUAAUACGGAGGGUCCAAGCGUUAUCCGGAAUCAUUGGGUUUAAAGGGUCCGUAGGCGGGCAAUUAAGUCAGAGGUGAAAUCCCACAGCUCAACUGUGGAACUGCCUUUGAUACUGGUUGUCUUGAGUUACAGUGAAGUAGAUAGAAUAUGUAGUGUAGCGGUGAA
Molecule: ribosomal RNA, 686 nt
Filed under: uncultured bacterium
Lineage: Bacteria
Description: bacterial SSU rRNA
Rfam family: Bacterial small subunit ribosomal RNA
Source: RNAcentral